Molecule: long non-coding RNA, 4613 nt
Organism: Capsicum annuum
Lineage: Eukaryota; Viridiplantae; Streptophyta; Magnoliopsida; Solanales; Solanaceae
Exons: 2
Source: RefSeq, a predicted model, not a curated record
UUGAACUAUGGGUUAGUAAGCCCUAUUUGAGACUUGUGAAUUUACGAACUCUUGUGCUAUAAGCACCUAUAAAUUGAGUAAUUUGAGAUGAUUGAGAAAUGAAUUGACCUAAUGGUCCGAGAGCUUUGAAAUUCACUUCACUAUAGGAGAUUAUCGAUUUGAUUAUUGGGUUCGUGGUGAACCAUGAGAUUAUUCUAAAAUGGAUUUUUAUGAGAUGAGCGCAAAUAAUCUAAAGGGAGUAGUAUUUAGCACCGAGCGGGUAAGUCACUACGGUUUCUUACCCCAAAACUACGUGCCACAGUAGGUUGGUCCUGAGGCCGAGUUUAUGAUGAUUAUGAUUGGACCUGAGGCCAAGUUUCAUUUAGUGAUUACUAUACCUAGGUUAUACUCCUUAGCAAGAGUGUGACGCUCCUCCCCAACGUGGGGUCACCUCCUUAGGAGGACAAAACGUUGGACUCCAUGUAGCUCGUAUGGUUUAUGUCGGUUAUGAGAACCUCUCUUUCCCUUUAAAAACUUCAAGAUCAGAUACUUAUUUUCCCUUCUUAUGAGCUAUUUUCCUAAAUGGUAGAAUUGCAAAGUUGUUCCCUAAUUAAGGUAUUUCCUUGAUAUGAGUUAUUUCCCUAAUGAAAGUGUCUUCCCUUGAAAUAGUACUUUUCAUAUAAGCUUUGAGAUAAGUUAUUUCCUUGAACUAGAAAACUUUUUCAUUUGGAUGUUUGAUCCUCCACUUCAUCAACUCUUUGAUCUUUCAUCACUCUCAAAGAUGUUUUAUGCCCGUUUUCCAAAAACCAAACAUUAAAAUGAAAAAAGUUAUGGAAAGAAUACUUUCUUUAACUUGCGGAAGAAUUGCACAAAGCAGAAUUCUGUUGAAGCAGGUUGUUAAAGCUGUUCCAACCAUGUCAUAACUAACCUCUAGCUCAUCACUAACUAACCAACUAACCUACUAGUAGUAUUAGCUCACUUACUAACUGCCUAUAUAUACACAUGUAUCAUGUACUAUUGAAUCACAACUUGAAUAUAAAGAAUUUCUGUUUUGGCUAAUGCUCUAUAAUCAUCUCUGUUCUCUCUUCUCCUCUCUUCUCUUUUACUUUCUUGCUUUCUUGUUUAGUUGUUCAUGGUGAUUACCAUUAAGAUCACUUAAUUAUUCAUGAUAUCAGAGCUUACACUAAAUUGAUCAGUACGUGAGAAUCGAUCCUAAUUCUCAAGUGAAAACUACAUUUGUUCUUGAAAUCAAGAACAACAGAAACUGAGAGUUCCUUCUUCUGCAAAUCCUUUGUAAUCAAUUGCCAUGGCGACCGGUGUUGAUGGAAUUGGUACUUCAAUUGUACCUCCAACGAAUAAUGCAUAUUCUAGUACUUCAUUUCAGUUUACAACUACUACUCUAGUUAUCAAUCACCCUCUGUAUCUCUCAAGUCUCAAUUACAGAAAUCUCAGGUACAUCGCUUGCUUCAUUUCAGUUACAAGGAAGUGAAAAUUAUGUAGUAUGGAGUAAAGAAGUUAGGAUUGCAUUAUUAGUUCGGAAUAAGUUUGGAAUGGUUGAUGGUUCUUGGAAGAAAGAAAUCUUCUCUACAGACUUAGCUAACCAAUGGGAAAGGGUUAAUAUAAUAGUACUGUCACGGCUGAUGAAUUCUGUGUCUAGUAACCUUCUUGGAGGGGUAGUACAUGCCGCGAAGGCUUCUGAUGUGUGGAUGGAUCUUAAAGAAAGAUUUGAUAAAAUAGAUGGAUCAAGAACGUACAAUUUGCAUCAAGAAAUUGCAACUGUGUCCCAAGGUGUUUAAUCUGUUUCUGUUUAUUUCACUAAGUUGAAAAACUUAUGGGAUGAGUUUGAGUCCCAUCACCUGUUUGUAACUAUGAAAAAUCAAGAGAUUUUUUAGCUUAUCUUCAAAGACAAAAGUUGUAUCAGUUUCUAAUGGGCUUGAAUGAUUCAUACUCACAAGCAAAAAGCCAGAUUUUUUAAUGACACCACUACCUACUGUUAACAUGGCCUACUCCAUGAUCAUAAGUGAUGAGACAUAGAAAUUUGUGGCUCAGUCAGUCCAGGGAACAGGUCUUCUUGGUGCUAUACCUACUACAAUUGAUGUUGUUGCAAUGUACUCUAAAACUGGAUAUCAAGGUGGGUAUCAGAAGGAAAAAAAGAACUAUGUUUCAACCUAUAACCUAAAUGCUAUUUGUGAUCAUUGAAGGAUGAAAGGUCACACUAUAAGAUGGAUUGCUACAAAUUAGUUGGAUAUCACCCAGGUAAUCCAAAACAUGGAGAUCAAAGAGUCAACAAUGACUUUAGAAGUGGCUUUGAUAACAAAAGUAAGCAGAGAAAGAUUGCUUCUAGUGCUCAUAAUGUUGUGGUUGAAUAUUGGCAGCUGUAGCCUCAACAGACUCAAUCACAUGGUGCUUAUAAGAACUUACAAAGUUUAUAGAGGAUGGGAUGACUACACCAAGGUUUACACCUGACAGUAUGAUCAAAUUUGUAAAAUGCUGGAACAACAGAAUCAAGUUUCAGCAUCUAUACCCUCAACUACUGCAACAAACAUGACAGGAUCUUUGGAGUGGGAAGGUAAAGGAGAUUGGUAGAGAAAAGCAUGGAUUAUACUUUCCACUAAGACAAAAGCUACCAGGACAUAGCAGGGUAGCUGACUGUGAGCUCAAUGCUGAAAUAGCUGAUAAAACAAAUCUUCAACUAUGGCAUAAGAGGCUUGGACAUGUUCCAUAUAGAACAUGGUGUAAAAUGUUUCCUAAUAAAAGUGGUUGUCCAAAUAGUUAUCAAUAAAUGUAGUGUUUGUCCUCUAGAUAAGCAAAUCAGAUUGGCUUUUCCAAUUAGUACUACCACUAGUCUUAAACCAUUUGAUCCUCUUCAUAUGGAUUUGUGGGGACCAUACAAAGUUUCUACUUGUGAUGGACACAAUCUAUUCCUGACUGUAGUUGAUGGCUGCACUAGAAUGACAUGGAUAUUCUUUCUUAAAUUGAAAUUUGAUUUGGUAGUUAUUCUGCAGCAUUUCUUAUCUUAUGUUCAUACUCAGUUUAAUACAUGUGUAAAAGUCAUGAGGACAGAUAAUGGAACUGAGUUUGUUAACAACUCAUGCACUGAUUUUUUUGCAAACUUAGGGAUAAAGCAUCAAACCUCCUACUCUUAUACACCCCAACAAAAUGGUGUGGCUGAAAGAAAGCACAAAAAAUUGUCGGAAGAAUCAAAAGCUCUAAUGUUUCAAGCUAAUAUACCUUUAAAUUUUUGGGGAUGUUGUGUACAAGCAGCAACAUACUUAAUUAAUAGGCUUUCAUCUGCCGUGUUAGUUUAUAUGACACCUUAUGAGAGGAUGUAUAGUAUAAAACCUUCCUUAGAUCAUCUAAGGUAUUAGGAUGUCUAUGUUAUGCUAAAACUAUUAAUGAGUCAGACAAACUAAUGCCUAGAUCUAGAAAAAUAGUUUAUAUGGGAUAUUCAGAAACAAAGAAAGGCUACAUUCUCUGUUGAUUAAUUGCCUCAGUUACUGUAGUAAAAGUUGAAGUAGUUGCUAGACAUUAUCCAAUUUUUUUAGUCAUGUUGGACAUUAUCUAGUUUCUUUAAGCCAUGUUCUCUUAACUUAGUUUAGUGACUGAUUUUUAGAUAUUAGUGGUUUAGUUGUUUUGGAUAUUGCUGAUCAUGGAAUCAUGUACAAAGUAGUAGCUUAAUUAUAGGCUUUAGUUAUUGCAUUUUUUUAGUAUUUAAGCAACACUUUAGAUUAAUGAAAAAUCAACCUUUGUGCAGUAAAUUAUUUGUUCUCUUCUUUCUUUCUUUGUUUGUUUUCACUUCAAAGAGUUGAAGUUAACCUUACAAAUCCAACAAAUUGGUAUCAGAGCUCUCUUAUUGAAGGACCUGCAUUUACGGUAAACAUAUUUUUCUCUUCUUGUUUUUUUUCCUAUGGAUUCAGAGACUCCUUUCACUGCACUAGUACCACGUGUCUUCAAAGGUGAAGGCUAUCAUAUCUUGGUAGCAAUAAUGGAGGCAUAUAUGGAGGCAAACAAUUUGUGGGAAGCUGUUAAGGAGGACUACGAAGUUCCUCCCUUGCCUGAAAAUCCAACCAUGGCGCAGAUGAGGAAUCACAAGGAAAAGAAAACAAGAAAAAUCAAAAGCUAGAGCAAUGUUAUUCACUAUAGUCUCAUCUGAAAUCUUUGUCAGGAUUAUGACUUGAAAUCAGCUUUUGAGGUUUGGAAUUUCCUAAAGAAAGAAUAUGAAGGAUAUGAACGGAUCAAAGGUAUGCGUACUCUUAACCUGAUUCAAGAAUUUGAACUUUAGAAGAUCCUUAUAUGGCGCUUAGACUUAGCUCAUCAAACAAGUGCGCCAAAAGUGAGUCAGAGACAAUCAAAGAGUAUUCUAAUAGAUUACUCAACAUUGCCAAUAAUGUAAGAUUACUUGGCUCUAAAUUUCCUGAUUCUAGAUUGGUUCAAAAAUUUUUAGUAACAGUCCUCGAAUGGUUUGAAACUACUAUUUCCGCAUGGGAAAAUUCUAAGGAUUUGUCACAGAUUAGUUUGGCAGAACUAUUAAAUGCUUUGUAGGCACAAGAACAAAGAAGACUUAUGAGGUCCAAAGGAUCUGUUGAGGGUGCACUACCUGCAAAAGUUCAAUCAAACCAAGGAGACCAAGGAAA